GAACAGGACAAGCAAAAUAUCCUGCCUUCAUGCAGCAUAAAUUCCAACAGGUGACUGGAACUGAUUUGACAUAACCAUCGUAUGCAUGGAGAAGCUGAGAACAGUAAUCUGCAGAAGCAAAAGUAUGAAACAGCCGGGCAAAGAUGCACAGAGGGGUCAAAGCAUCGUAGAACCACAGAUGUGAAAGAACUGCGGAGAGGACGUUCUCCAGGAGGGACAUCAUUAACUCAACCCGGGCGAGAGACUAGGCUUUGACCAGGCUUUCCAACCCACGCAGCUUCAGCUUCCAUCAAGCCCAUCCUAACCACAACGAACACAAGGCAAGGCAAACAAGCAAAACAUAAUAAAGAUCAGAGAGAACACAG
Molecule: long non-coding RNA, 365 nt
Filed under: Homo sapiens (human)
Lineage: Eukaryota; Metazoa; Chordata; Mammalia; Primates; Hominidae
Description: non-protein coding lnc-CAMKK2-6:1
Source: RNAcentral